AUUGAACGCUGGCGGCAGGCCUAACACAUGCAAGUCGAACGGUAACAGGAAGAAGCUUGCUUCUUUGCUGACGAGUGGCGGACGGGUGAGUAAUGUCUGGGAAACUGCCUGAUGGAGGGGGAUAACUACUGGAAACGGUAGCUAAUACCGCAUAACGUCGCAAGACCAAAGAGGGGGACCUUCGGGCCUCUUGCCAUCGGAUGUGCCCAGAUGGGAUUAGCUAGUAGGUGGGGUAACGGCUCACCUAGGCGACGAUCCCUAGCUGGUCUGAGAGGAUGACCAGCCACACUGGAACUGAGACACGGUCCAGACUCCUACGGGAGGCAGCAGUGGGGAAUAUUGCACAAUGGGCGCAAGCCUGAUGCAGCCAUGCCGCGUGUAUGAAGAAGGCCUACGGGU
Molecule: ribosomal RNA, 399 nt
Filed under: uncultured Escherichia sp.
Lineage: Bacteria; Pseudomonadati; Pseudomonadota; Gammaproteobacteria; Enterobacterales; Enterobacteriaceae
Description: bacterial SSU rRNA
Rfam family: Bacterial small subunit ribosomal RNA
Source: RNAcentral